This 540-nucleotide ribosomal RNA is filed under the name uncultured archaeon. RNAcentral's name for it is "bacterial SSU rRNA". It matches the Rfam family "Archaeal small subunit ribosomal RNA", at positions 327 to 869 of the family's 1478-position model. The record is from RNAcentral.
GGGGUGCAGCAGGCGCGAAACCUCUGCAAUAGGCGAAAGCCUGACAGGGUUACUCUGAGUGAUUUCCGUUAAGGAGAUCUUUUGGCACCUCUAAAAAUGGUGCAGAAUAAGGGGUGGGCAAGUCUGGUGUCAGCCGCCGCGGUAAUACCAGCACCCCGAGUGGUCGGGACGUUUAUUGGGCCUAAAGCAUCCGUAGCCGGUUCUACAAGUCUUCCGUUAAAUCCACCUGCUUAACAGAUGGGCUGCGGAAGAUACUAUAGGGCUAGGAGGCGGGAGAGGCAAGCGGUACUCGAUGGGUAGGGGUAAAAUCCGUUGAUCCAUUGAAGACCACCAGUGGCGAAGGCGGCUUGCCAGAACGCGCUCGACGGUGAGGGAUGAAAGCUGGGGGAGCAAACCGGAUUAGAUACCCGGGUAGUCCCAGCUGUAAACGAUGCAGACUCGGUGAUGAGUUGGCUUUAUGCCAACUCAGUGCCGCAGGGAAGCCGUUAAGUUUGCCGCCUGGGGAGUACGGUCGCAAGACUGAAACUUAAAGGAAUUGGC